GGAUAACCUACCUAUAAGACUGGGAUAACUUCGGGAAACCGGAGCUAAUACCGGAUAAUAUAUUGAACCGCAUGGUUCAAUAGUGAAAGACGGUUUUGCUGUCACUUAUAGAUGGAUCCGCGCCGCAUUAGCUAGUUGGUAAGGUAACGGCUUACCAAGGCAACGAUGCGUAGCCGACCUGAGAGGGUGAUCGGCCACACUGGAACUGAGACACGGUCCAGACUCCUACGGGAGGCAGCAGUAGGGAAUCUUCCGCAAUGGGCGAAAGCCUGACGGAGCAACGCCGCGUGAGUGAUGAAGGUCUUCGGAUCGUAAAACUCUGUUAUUAGGGAAGAACAAAUGUGUAAGUAACUAUGCACGUCUUGACGGUACCUAAUCAGAAAGCCACGGCUAACUACGUGCCAGCAGCCGCGGUAAUACGUAGGUGGCAAGCGUUAUCCGGAAUUAUUGGGCGUAAAGCGCGCGUAGGCGGUUUUUUAAGUCUGAUGUGAAAGCCCACGGCUCAACCGUGGAGGGUCAUUGGAAACUGGAAAACUUGAGUGCAGAAGAGGAAAGUGGAAUUCCAUGU
This 568-nucleotide ribosomal RNA is filed under the name uncultured bacterium. RNAcentral's name for it is "bacterial SSU rRNA". It matches the Rfam family "Bacterial small subunit ribosomal RNA", at positions 119 to 674 of the family's 1533-position model. The record is from RNAcentral.